CCUCACUGUAUAUUUGUCCUCUGAGAGAGGGGGUGAGAUCCUUCCACUGAAGUACAAGAGGGACAUAUGUGAACAAAUUGCCCUGUGUUGGCUGCCAAGAAUGACCCAUGAAGGACCACCUACUACCGAGGCUGAUCUUGCUCUCUCUCUUCUCUAUGUAUAGUCUUCAAACAAAGACCACUUGAGUUGAGCAAUGCCAGCUGGGGAACAAGAUGUAUGUAUAGUGAGAUUACUCAUGCUUGAUGAAGCGAGCCCUCAUGUCAUUAUGACACUCAAGCAGCUCUUGAAGAGGAGCUGAGGCUUCCUUCCAACAGUCAGCACCAUGUUAGUGAACUGCCUUGGAAACCAAUCAUCCAGGUCCCAGUAAGCCUUCACAUAUCUACUGACAUCCUGACUACAAUCUCGUAAGAGACGGUCAGUCAAAACCACCCAGAAAAUACUCUGGCUUUAGCUCUUUGAAGAUUUCCCCUUCUCCAUUCUUAUCUUCUAUAAUUCCAGCAAACAGUUGAAGAUUUUAUUUACUUAUUGGACCUAAAGAACAUAAGCAGGAGGAGUGGCAGGCACAGGGAGAAGGAGAAGCAGGCUUCCCACUGAGCAUGGAGCCCAAUGUGGAGCUGAAUCCAGAGGAUCCUGGGAUCAUGACCUGAGCCAAAGGCAGGUUUUGGUUUCAGAGCAGAUAGUCAAGACUCUGCUUCCCUUCUAAAAGUUAAUAUCUGCAAAACUGUGUUGCUAGAAGACUUGGCCUCUGAGGUUCUGUGCUGCUUCCUGCUGCCAUCCAUCUAGGCCAGCCCAUUCUUCCUUAAUCCCUGCCUCUCUGACUCUGAAGUACUGACCCCAUUUUUCUUUCAUUGUCCUCUGUCGUGUAUCUAUAGGAGUUCCAGCUAUGGAAGCCUUGGCUUUAGAAUUUUAAGGCAUUAGAACACUUGAGUUUUGAUCUCUGCUUCAUCCCUUACAUAUUGUUGUUAGUCAAUAUUGACUAUUUUUUCUAAUUCUACAAAUUUGACACUAUAAUCAUAAUUACUAUUUUACCUAGACAUUUUCUCUUUAACAUAGUUUUUUUUACUCACUUUUUUUUCUUAUGUCUGUCCUGACUGGAAGAAUGACUAACUUGGAGUCUACAAGACACAUAAAAAGUUUUGAAAUACUUUGGGAUCCUCAUGGUGGUUAUUCCCACUUUAAACAGUAGUGGAAAUUUCUCUAGUGUGUUUUAGUAAGUAAACACAGUAAAAUAGUGUAGUGGGUAUGCAUAGGACAGAAAAAUUGUGUGCUCAAUAGAGCGUUUUGCUUUGUGCCAGGGGCCUCUUCCAUAGACUUAAUUGCAAUGAGGAAAUCAUGGCAAAUAGCUUGAGCCAGCAAUUUACAGAUUAUUAGACAAGAAGAUUUAUUGAACUAAACAAUAAAAAGGAAAAGCCAUUUUAUAAUGUGUGAUAGAAUGGUCUAACCAAAAAAUUGUUGUCUCCUCUGGUCUAUAUACAUAAAUCAGUGCCUUAUCAUUUCUGUGCAGUCAUGCCUAACAUUUUUUACCCUGGAAUUACAAGUAAAACCUUUGUAAUACAGGCCUUAGAAUACAUUUUUUAUGUCACAUCUAAUAAGCAUUUUUAAAAUGCCAUUUUCCCCUCACUUUUAUUCUUCCUGCAUUAGAAGCUCACAGUCUAGUAACUCAUCAUUUAUAUCAUGAACAGAUCCUAAGCAGCCUUAUGCAGGUGGCUGACCCUCCGAUGAGACACAUUACUUUGCAUGGAGAAAAUAGGAAAUUCAAAAUAAAUACUUCAGCCUUAAUGUUACCAGAGUUUGUUUUCUGUUACAGAAAGUGUUAUUAUAGUGGUUAUUAUUACUAAGGACAGAUAUGAGCUAUUUGAGGCUGGUUUGGUUUUGCUAUUCUCAAUUUGACCCUUAAGGGGUAAAUGUUUUCCUAUUGCUCAUAAUUUCAUUCAUCAUUUUCUUCUCUGUCCUUUUUUUAUUUCUACUGCUGCUCCAGCCUCAUUUCAGAAAUUGCUGUUGGCAAGAAGAAAUGUGUACAACACGAAUUACCUGUAGGAGUUAGAUUGCAUCAGUAUUGUCAGUAAUAUUGUUUAGAAUCAGCUUAAAACAUUGCUUUGUAAUUCUGAAAAACAGUGGAAAUGGGAGACAGAUAAUAUCCAAGACUCCCAUAUCUUCUUUUUGUAGGCAUGGAAGAAAAUCCUAUGUUUGGGACAUUUCAAAAGGACGUGGCAUUUGAGAGAGGAUAUAAUUUUCCUAUUUAUAAGGCAAAUGAUAAUAAAACAAUGAAAAGUGAAAGCAAGAAAGUCAUGUUUAUACCCCAAGUUUGUGGAGUAUUUCUUAUUUAAAAAAAGGCUCUUGUAAAGUAGAGAAGAUAAAAUGUUGAGCGGCAUAUGUUCAUUUUGGAGGUAAAAUAAAUUCUCAUUUCCCCAUCACUGAAGCUAAGAAAUAAGAAAUUAUUACCACCAUAGAAGACUACUCCGUGCCCCAUAAUUAUCCUAGCUUCUGUGCCUCUCUUAGGUUCCAAGAGGUCACUACCAUUCUGAAAUUAUGAUUUCUGUGUUUCUGAAAUUGUGAAUUCUCACUUUUCUAACUUUUUAAAACGUUUCUCUCUGAAAAAUAUA
Nyctereutes procyonoides (raccoon dog) is the source of this 2603-nucleotide long non-coding RNA. RefSeq lists it as uncharacterized. Lineage: Eukaryota; Metazoa; Chordata; Mammalia; Carnivora; Canidae. The transcript is spliced from 5 exons. The record is from RefSeq and is a predicted model, not a curated record.